This 1599-nucleotide long non-coding RNA is filed under the name Sus scrofa (pig). RNAcentral describes it as "lncRNA (ENSSSCG00000057996.1)". Lineage: Eukaryota; Metazoa; Chordata; Mammalia; Artiodactyla; Suidae. The record is from RNAcentral.
CAGGCCAGAGAUCAAACUGCCACCACAGCAGCGACAAUGACAGAUGUGCUGCUGAGCCACCAGGGAACUCCUUGUUUGUACUUUUCUCGAUUCCACAUAUAAGUGAAAUCAUAUGAUAUUUGUCUUUCUCUGACUGACAUUUCACUCAGCAUAGUGCCCUCAAGAUCCAUUUAUGUGGUCACAAAGGGCAAUAUUUGAUUUUUUAUUGCUGAAUAAUAUUCCAUUGUGCAUAUAUAAAAUAUAUAUGCAAAAAUAUAUAAAAUAUAUACAAAUUUUAUGUUGUGUGUAUAAAAUAUAUACAUUGCAUAUAAAAAAUAGUUACAUUGCCUAUAUAAAAUAUUACAUUGUGCACAUAUAGAAUAUAUGAUCAGUUUCUUUACCCAUUUAUCUGUUGGUGGACUUUUAUGUUGUUUCCACGUCUUGGCAGUUGUAAAUAAUGCUGCAAUGAACAUGAGAGGGCAUAUAUGCAUAAACCUUUUCAAAUUAGUGUUUUCGUUUUCUUCAGGUGAAUACCCAGGAGCGGAAUUUCUGGAUCAUACGGUAGUUUUCUUUUUAAUUCUUUGGCAAAACAGAAACCUCCUUCUUGCUUUCCACCAUGACUGCACCAAUCGCCAUCUAUAUUCCCACCAACAGUGCAGGAAUAUCCCCUUCUCUCCACAUCCUCACCAAUGUUUGUUAUUCCUCUUUUUUUUAAUUUUUAAUUUUUAUUUUUACCAGCUGCACCUGCAGCAGCAUAUGGAAGUUCCUGGGCCAGGAGUCGAAUCGGAGCUGCAACUGCAGCCUACACUGUAGCCAUAGCAACACCGGAUCCAAGCUGCAUCUGGCACCUACACUGUAGCUUACAUUAAUUCCUUAAUCUACUGAGUAAGGCCAGGGAUGGCACCCGAGUCUUCACAAAGACAACGUUGGUUCUUAACCCACUGAGCCGAAAUGGGAACUCCUCCUUAUCUUUUGGGUAAUAACCAUUCUAACAGGCAUGAGGUGAUAGCUGAUGGUUUUGAUUUGCAUUUCCCUGAUGACUACUGAUUUGAGCAUCUUUUCAUGUAUGUCUUCGCCAUCUAUAUGUCUCCUUUGGAAAACUGUCUCUUCACAUCCUCUGCCCAUUUUUUAAUGGGAUUAUUUGUUUGCUCUUGAGUCAUAGGAGUUCUUUAUACAUUUUGGCUCUUAGCCCCUUAUCAGAUAUAUGAUUUGCAAAUAUUUUUCCCAUUCAGUAGGUUGUCUUCUCAUUUUGUUGGCCAUUUCUUUUGCUGUACAGAAGUAUUCCAAUUUAAUAUCAGAGGCCCCCCCCAAAAAAACAAUAUCAAAGCCUACAUUUUAUCAACAGCUCCCAAAGUAAGAAAUAAAUUAUCCUUGGAGUUUUCAUUGUAGCUCAAUGGGUUAAGAACCCAACUGUAUCCAUGAGGAUGCAGGCUCCAUCCCUGGCAUCGCUCACUGGGUUAAGAAUUCAGCUCUAUGGAGUUCCCGUCAUGGCACAGUGGUUAACGAAUCUGACUAGGAACCAUGAGGUUGCGGUCUAAAUUUGUAUUUCUACCUAAAUUGCCAUUUUUGUCUAAAAAAAUUUAUCCUAUGAUUAACAACUUUCAUUUUCUCUUCUUUCUU